GGCUGCUUUAUGUUUAGGAGUCCAUCUUUAGUUCAAUUUCAUAUUUUUUGUUUUUAUUUAAUUUAUAGAACCUUAUUAGGGUUGAGAUACUAUAAAUAUCUUUGUUUUAUGUUAUUCAAUUUUUAUUGAUAAAAUUAUAAGUUUAUUUCUUCAGUUGGAGUCUAGUGUUCUUCCUUGGUAUCUUGAAGGAUUUCAUCUUAUAUGAAUCUUUAUUCUUAUUCAUCAAUACUGCAUCAGUA
This 239-nucleotide long non-coding RNA is filed under the name Elaeis guineensis (African oil palm). RNAcentral's name for it is "long non-coding RNA (EGUI_LNC044189)". The record is from RNAcentral. Lineage: Eukaryota; Viridiplantae; Streptophyta; Magnoliopsida; Arecales; Arecaceae.